GCUGGGCAUGGUGGCGCAGGCCUGUAAUCCCAGCUACUCGGGAAGCUGAGGCAGGAGAAUUGCUUGAACCCAGGAGGCGGAGGUUGCAGUUAGCCGAGAUUGCGCCACUGCACUCCAGCCUGGGUGACACAGCAAGACUCCGUCUCAA
RNAcentral lists this non-coding RNA (148 nucleotides) under Pan troglodytes (chimpanzee). Lineage: Eukaryota; Metazoa; Chordata; Mammalia; Primates; Hominidae. The record is from Rfam by way of RNAcentral.